UGGCGCAGCUGGAGGACUAGGUGUAAUACGGUCCCAGAAAAACUACAGGAUGGACUAACCCUGCUUAUUCCUGUGAAUCAAGAGGUGAUCUUCUGCAGCUUGGAAAAAAAAAAGCGAUGGAUGGAGUUUCACUCUUAUCACCCAGGCUGGAGUGCAAUAGCGCAAUCUUGGCUCACUGCAACCUCUGCCUCCUGGGUUCAAGCGAUUCUCCUGGCUGGCCCAGAGUGGUGGCAGUGGAGGCAGGGAGAAGUGUUCACAUUCUGGGUACCUUUGAAGGCCAGCUGCUACCCACCUCCUCGGCUCUGCAAGACACUCCCAGACCUGCCUGUGUCCUAUUCGUCUCCCCUCUGCAGACAGAGGCUCUCCUCAAGACUUUGUUCUGCAAAACCCCCACCACUACCCCUAAGAAGGCAAAAGGGCAACUGAGGCAUGAAGCAGGGGGCACGCACGGGGGAGUCCCACAUUCCUGAUCUGACUCCCCAGGCAUAUUGUGCUGCUUCUGGGGAGCUUGCCACGGCCUGCCUCCUCCCGGGUUUGGGCCCUUGUUUAUAUCUGUUCACCUGUGCUUUCCCCUUCCCUGCAGAACAGCGAUCAGAACCUGUUCAUAUCUGGGACCCCACAGUCCUUACCUAGGGCAGCUAGGUGUUCCCUGGCUGAAUGAAGGGAUGUGGAGUUUCCUGCUGGGUGGUGGGUAGGACAGGCUUGGAAGACAGGGGUGGAAUUAAGUAAGGAAGCUCCAGAAGGACACAGGGCCAUAGAUACUCUCCCACCCAACUCCAGGCCACAUCAGGAACACCUGCUAACAUUUCCUGAACACUCUUUUUGAGCCAGGCCCUGUGUAUUUUAGAUGCGGUUUCAUUUGAUCUUCACAGGAGCCCUAUGAGGUAGGCAUCCCCAACCCCACUUUAUAGAUGCAAACAACUAAGGCACAGAGAAGUUAUUUGUUCAAGGUCACAUGGCUACUAAGCAACAAAACUAGGAUGCAAAAGCAGAUUUGUUCGACCCCACAUGCUGUGUGCUUUGCUACAAUCCACACUGUCUCCCAGGCCCCACAGAGCCCCAAAUGCAUGUGUCUCACCAGUUUCACCUGUGGCCACUGUGCUCAGCUAUCCUCAUCCUAAGACAAUUGUAGUUAUGGUUAAGGAAAGCCUUUUAUUAAAUUGCCAAACACCAGGG
This 1176-nucleotide long non-coding RNA is filed under the name Homo sapiens (human). Its description in RNAcentral is "HSALNT0309023". Lineage: Eukaryota; Metazoa; Chordata; Mammalia; Primates; Hominidae. The record is from RNAcentral.